GAUCCUAUAGUUUAACGGUUAGAACCUUAGCCCUUCAAGCUAAUAGUACUGGUUCGAUUCCAGUUAGGAUUA
Babjeviella inositovora NRRL Y-12698 is the source of this 72-nucleotide transfer RNA. It matches the Rfam family "tRNA". From Rfam's summary of the family: Transfer RNA (tRNA) molecules are approximately 80 nucleotides in length. Their secondary structure includes four short double-helical elements and three loops (D, anti-codon, and T loops). Lineage: Eukaryota; Fungi; Ascomycota; Pichiomycetes; Serinales. The record is from Rfam.